GAUGAACGCUGGCGGCGUGCCUAAUACAUGCAAGUCGAGCGAACAGACGAGGAGCUUGCUCCUCUGACGUUAGCGGCGGACGGGUGAGUAACACGUGGAUAACCUACCUAUAAGACUGGGAUAACUUCGGGAAACCGGAGCUAAUACCGGAUAAUAUAUUGAACCGCAUGGUUCAAUAGUGAAAGACGGCUUUGCUGUCACUUAUAGAUGGAUCCGCGCCGCAUUAGCUAGUUGGUAAGGUAACGGCUCACCAAGGCAACGAUGCGUAGCCGACCUGAGAGGAUGAUCGGCCACACUGGAACUGAGACACGGUCCAGACUCCUACGGGAGGCAGCAGUAGGGAAUCUUGCGCAAUGGGCGAAAGCCUGACGGAGCAACGCCGCGUGAGUGAAGAAGGUCUUCGGAUCGUAAAGCUCUGUUAUUAGGGAAGAACAGAUGUGUAAGAAACUAUGCACGUAUUGACGUUACCUACUGAGAAAGCAACGGCUAACUACGUG
RNAcentral lists this ribosomal RNA (497 nucleotides) under uncultured bacterium. Its description in RNAcentral is "partial 16S ribosomal RNA". It matches the Rfam family "Bacterial small subunit ribosomal RNA", at positions 28 to 507 of the family's 1533-position model. The record is from RNAcentral.